GCGAGAGUGGUGAAACUGGUAGACACGCCAGACUUAGGAUCUGGUGCAAUGCGCAUAAGGGUUCGAGUCCCUUCUCUCGCA
This 81-nucleotide transfer RNA is filed under the name Treponema sp. RNAcentral's name for it is "tRNA-Leu". It matches the Rfam family "tRNA". From Rfam's summary of the family: Transfer RNA (tRNA) molecules are approximately 80 nucleotides in length. Their secondary structure includes four short double-helical elements and three loops (D, anti-codon, and T loops). Further hydrogen bonds mediate the characteristic L-shaped molecular structure. tRNAs have two regions of fundamental functional importance: the anti-codon, which is responsible for specific mRNA codon recognition, and the 3' end, to which the tRNAs corresponding amino acid is attached (by aminoacyl-tRNA synthetases). tRNAs cope with the degeneracy of the genetic code in two manners: having more than one tRNA (with a specific anti-codon) for a particular amino acid; and 'wobble' base-pairing, i.e. permitting non-standard base-pairing at the 3rd anti-codon position. Lineage: Bacteria; Pseudomonadati; Spirochaetota; Spirochaetia; Treponematales; Treponemataceae. The record is from RNAcentral.